UGUCUCUACUUUUUUGCAGGGUGUGCAUGGAGACAGCAUGAAUGCUAGAUCUGUAGCAGGAAGACUUGUCUUUGCCCUUUUCCAGUGGAAAAGGCUGGUGAUAUUGCUGUGCGUGGGUCUGUGCAUGAAGGAGCUGUACUAUGUGAUGAACACGCUUGAAAGUCAUGUUGGGAGGCGUGUUGGUGCUUGCCAGAGACGCUUCAUGUGGAGAAAGCCUUUUCUUGGGAGGUCUGAAUCUCACUGGAAGCCUUUCCUGACCAGCAAAUCCUUAUACUCGCUCAUGGACAGGCCUUUUAGACAGAAGGCUGAAGAAGUUCUGUGGUUCCAUGAACUUCCUUUUGGGCUGCAGAGUUCAGUUCUCUCUGCUUUUAGCACAUUGCAGCUUCUUCCAGAGCAGGAGUUGCCUGGAUCCUUUGGCCGCUUAUGGUGCCAAAGGUGCAUUGUGGUUGGCAAUGGCUACUCCAUCCAUGGACAGCGCUUUGGGAAUUUGAUUGACUCUCACCAUGUUAUCAUCAGAUUAAAUGAUGCUCCAGUAAAAGAGUACAAGAAAGAUGUGGGUGAGAGAACCAGCAUCCGUCUCUUCUUCCCUGAAUCUGCUCUGCCCAACCCUUUAGAAAACAAUGACAAUGAUACACUGAUGGUGUUUGUCCCAUUCAAGCCUCUGGAUUUCCUCUGGCUGAGGGAAGUGUUGCUGAAAACAAGGAACAAGACAAAGGUGGGAUUUUGGCGGCAGCCACCCCAGCAGUGGAAUGGGAACAUCUCUCAGCUACGUAUUCUCAACCCAUAUGUCACCUACGAAGCAACGUACAAACUGCUGCAGCUGAAUGCAUCAAGUAGGAGAUAUGCCACCACGGGAAUCAUUGCUUUGAACUUAGCCCUCCAUAUAUGCCAGGAGGUCAAUAUUGCAGGCUUUGGUUACCCCGGCAACCAUGACAAUACUACACCAAUACAUUAUUACAAUACAGGUCGCUCACGGAAAGAAGAGGUAGAAAAUGCUUCCCCUUCAAACUGAGGUGUUCUCCAUAGGGAAGCCUGCUGGCAAAAGCCGGGACUAAAGGAGCUGUGAGCUCUGCUCAUUCAGCAUAAUCUCACAGCUGAGAGGAACUGGCUGCUGAAGAUGAUUGAGUGGGGAGUGAUUGCUGACCUAGCCAACCCUGCCUUUCAGGCCCAGAACCACUGAGAGAAGGCCAUGAUGCUUGCUGUCCCCAUCCAGAAAACCCUGGUGACCCCAGCUGGACUUUACCUUUGUUCCAGGUUGUUUUGAGUAUGUGACAGCAUGUCCUGUCCCACAUGGGAUGGGAGAUGAAUCCUCCAAAUUCAGAGCACUUGCGCUUUCCUCUGUUGGCCUCUGGCUUCCACUGCUGUCUGCUCCACUGGAGAAUGAGCAGUAUUACACAACCCUUCUUCCUUGAGUAAUCUCUUCCUGGUUUGUAAACAGCUAUCCUUUGCUCACCAGGUUAUUUGUGAAAAGCACCAGACUGAGAUGCUAAGCUGGUCUGCAGCCCCUGCGAAGGGGAGUGGUGAGAGCGCAGUGCCUACCUUGAGAUUUCAAACUGCUUCCUACACAGAUUGGAGUGAGAGAGAGUCAUACCUACCCAUCGCUAUGGAAAAGGACUGAACACUCAGAAAUUUCAGUAUCUUGCUGAUUGUUGGCAAAUGUUAAUGUCUGCAGGAGUUGUUUCUUUUAUUGUUCUGUUUGAGAAUAAAUGCACUUCUGGUUUCAA
This is an RNA transcript of Cygnus atratus (black swan), 1724 nucleotides long. It is a transcript of the gene named CMP-N-acetylneuraminate-beta-galactosamide-alpha-2,3-sialyltransferase 4-like, with no coding region annotated. The transcript is spliced from 10 exons. The record is from RefSeq and is a predicted model, not a curated record. Lineage: Eukaryota; Metazoa; Chordata; Aves; Anseriformes; Anatidae.